CUACGGGGGGCUCCAGUGGGGAAUAUUGCACAAUGGGGGAAACCCUGAUGCAGCGACGCCGCGUGAAGGAUGAAGGAUUUCGGUUCGUAAACUUCUAUCAGCAGGGAAGAUAGUGACUGUACCUGACUAAGAAGCCCCGGCUAACUACGUGCCAGCAGCCGCGGUAAUACGUAGGGGGCAAGCGUUAUCCGGAAUUACUGGGUGUAAAGGGUGCGUAGGUGGCUUGUUAAGCCAGAUGUGAAAGCCCGGGGCUCAACCCCGGGACUGCAUUUGGAACUGGCAAGCUAGAAUACAGGAGAGGUAUGUGGAAUUCCUAGUGUAGCGGUGAAAUGCGUAGAUAUUAGGAGGAACACCAGUGGCGAAGGCGACUUACUGGACUGUUAUUGACACUGAGGCACGAAAGCGUGGGGAGCGAACAGGAUUAGAUACCCGGGUAGUC
Molecule: ribosomal RNA, 439 nt
Filed under: uncultured bacterium
Lineage: Bacteria
Description: partial 16S ribosomal RNA
Rfam family: Bacterial small subunit ribosomal RNA
Source: RNAcentral